Molecule: ribosomal RNA, 439 nt
Filed under: uncultured bacterium
Lineage: Bacteria
Description: partial 16S ribosomal RNA
Rfam family: Bacterial small subunit ribosomal RNA
Source: RNAcentral
CCUACGGGAGGCAGCAGUGGGGAAUAUUGCACAAUGGGGGAAACCCUGAUGCAGCGACGCCGCGUGAGUGAAGAAGUAAUUAGUUACGUAAAGCUCUAUCAGCAGGGAAGAAAAUGACGGUACCUGAAGAAAAAGCAUAGGCUACCUCCGUGCCAGCAUCCGCGGUACUACGUAGGAUGCGAGCGUUAUCCGGAUUUAUUGGGUUUAACGGGUACGUAGGCGGAAUGCCAAGUCAGCGGUAAAAUCGCGGGGCUCACCCUCGCGCCGCCGUUGAAAAUGGCGUUCUUGAGUGGGAGAGAAGUAUGCGGAAUGCGUGGUGUCGCGGUGAAAUGCAUAGAUAUCACGCAGAACUCCGAUUGCGAAGGCAGCAUACCGGCGCCCAACUGACGCUGAAGCACGAAAGCGUGGGUAUCGAACAGGAUUAGAUACCCUUGUAGUC